Molecule: transfer RNA, 73 nt
Filed under: Pediastrum duplex
Lineage: Eukaryota; Viridiplantae; Chlorophyta; Chlorophyceae; Sphaeropleales; Hydrodictyaceae
Description: tRNA-Ile
Rfam family: tRNA
About the family: Transfer RNA (tRNA) molecules are approximately 80 nucleotides in length.
Source: RNAcentral
GUGUGUAGCUCAAUUGGUUAGAGCGCAGGACCGAUAAUCCUGAGGUUGCAGGUUCAAUCCCUGCCAUACUCAA